AAAUUUUUAGGAAAAAAGUCUAUACAUAUGGGUAUCAUCAAUUAUACGAUUUCUGAAAAAAAGGGGAGAGAAAAUUGUGGAAUUUUUUAGUGGUUAGUAUCGAGGAAGUUAUAAUAAAUACAAAAUUGUGAAAGUGAUAAAAGCGAAAUAAAGAUAUGAUAGUUUUCUAUUCUUAUUCGGUGGCUAAUGUUCGGACAUCGUGACAGAACUAAUCUUAAAAGAAAAAAAAGGAAAAAAAGAAAAAAAGGAAAGGAUAAUAAUGCAAGAUAUAGAAUGUUUAUCCUUUACACAUGAACUAUUCACACGUGUGAUUUUAUCCGAGCCGCUCGAAGUGGAGGAAAAAUAUUGUUUGCCUGUCUCGAAUCGACAUCGCAAGAGUUCUUUGUACUUGCCAAAC
Apis florea (little honeybee) is the source of this 397-nucleotide long non-coding RNA. Lineage: Eukaryota; Metazoa; Arthropoda; Insecta; Hymenoptera; Apidae. The record is from RefSeq and is a predicted model, not a curated record.